GAAGUAAAAGUCGUAACAAGGUCUCCGUUGGUGAACCAGCGGAGGGAUCAUUACUGAGUUUACGCUCUACAACCCUUUGUGAACAUACCUACAACUGUUGCUUCGGCGGGUAGGGUCUCCGCGACCCUCCCGGCCUCCCGCCUCCGGGCGGGUCGGCGCCCGCCGGAGGAUAACCAAACUCUGAUUUAACGACGUUUCUUCUGAGUGGUACAAGCAAAUAAUCAAAACUUUUAACAACGGAUCUCUUGGUUCUGGCAUCGAUGAAGAACGCAGCGAAAUGCGAUAAGUAAUGUGAAUUGCAGAAUUCAGUGAAUCAUCGAAUCUUUGAACGCACAUUGCGCCCGCCAGCAUUCUGGCGGGCAUGCCUGUUCGAGCGUCAUUUCAACCCUCAAGCUCUGCUUGGUGUUGGGGCCCUACAGCCGAUGUAGGCCCUCAAAGGUAGUGGCGGACCCUCCCGGAGCCUCCUUUGCGUAGUAACUUUACGUCUCGCACUGGGAUCCGGAGGGACUCUUGCCGUAAAACCCCCCAAUUUUCCAAAGGUUGACCUCGGAUCAGGUAGGAAUACCCGCUGAACUUAAGCAUA
RNAcentral lists this ribosomal RNA (583 nucleotides) under Colletotrichum gloeosporioides. Its description in RNAcentral is "eukaryotic LSU rRNA". The stretch from base 226 to 379 matches the Rfam family "5.8S ribosomal RNA". Lineage: Eukaryota; Fungi; Ascomycota; Sordariomycetes; Glomerellales; Glomerellaceae. The record is from RNAcentral.